GAAAUGCGAUAAGUAAUGUGAAUUGCAGAAUUCAGUGAAUCAUCGAAUCUGUGAACGCACCUUGCGCUCCUUGGUAUUCCUUGGAGCAUGCCUGUUUGAGUAUCAUGAAAUCUUCAAAGUAAAUCUUUUGUUAACUCAAUUGGUUUCUACUUUGGUAUUGGAGGUCUUUGCAGCUUCACACCUGCUCCUCUUUGUUCAUUAGCUGGAUCUCAGUGUUAUGCUUGGUUCCACUCGGCGUGAUAAGUUAUCUAUCGCUGAGGACACUGUAAAAGGUGGCCAAGGUAAAUGCAGAUGAACCGCUUCUAAUAGUCCAUUGACUUGGACAAUACUUUUAUGAUCUGAUCUCACAUCAGGUAGGACUACCCGCUGAACUUAAGC
This 378-nucleotide unclassified non-coding RNA is filed under the name plant metagenome. RNAcentral's name for it is "partial contains 5.8S ribosomal RNA, internal transcribed spacer 2, and large subunit ribosomal RNA". The stretch from base 1 to 105 matches the Rfam family "5.8S ribosomal RNA", at positions 50 to 154 of the family's 154-position model. The record is from RNAcentral.